Molecule: ribosomal RNA, 497 nt
Filed under: uncultured bacterium
Lineage: Bacteria
Description: partial 16S ribosomal RNA
Rfam family: Bacterial small subunit ribosomal RNA
Source: RNAcentral
GAUGAACGCUGGCGGCGUGCCUAAUACAUGCAAGUCGAGCGAACGGACGAGAAGCUUGCUUCUCUGAUGUUAGCGGCGGACGGGUGAGUAACACGUGGAUAACCUACCUAUAAGACUGGGAUAACUUCGGGAAACCGGAGCUAAUACCGGAUAAUAUUUUGAACCGCAUGGUUCAAAAGUGAAAGACGGUCUUGCUGUCACUUAUAGAUGGAUCCGCGCUGCAUUAGCUAGUUGGUAAGGUAACGGCUUACCAAGGCAACGAUGCAUAGCCGACCUGAGAGGGUGAUCGGCCACCCUGGAACUGAGACACGGUCCAGACUCCUACGGGAGGCAGCAGUAGGGAAUCUUACGCAAUGGGCGAAAGCCUGACGGAGCAACGCCGAGUGAGUGAUGAAGGUCUUCGGAUCGUAAAACUCUGUUAUUAGGGAAGAACAUAUGUGUAAGUAAAUGUGCACAUCUUGACGGUACCUAAUCAGAAAGCCACGGCUAACUACGUG